GUGGAUGUAGUUCAGUGGUAGAGUUCUCACCUUCCAUGUCAGAGACCCAGGUUUGAUUCCUGGCCAUGCACA
Molecule: transfer RNA, 72 nt
Filed under: Loxodonta africana (African savanna elephant)
Lineage: Eukaryota; Metazoa; Chordata; Mammalia; Proboscidea; Elephantidae
Rfam family: tRNA
About the family: Transfer RNA (tRNA) molecules are approximately 80 nucleotides in length.
Source: Rfam by way of RNAcentral